Long non-coding RNA from Rhodamnia argentea, 529 nucleotides. RefSeq lists it as uncharacterized. The record is from RefSeq and is a predicted model, not a curated record. Lineage: Eukaryota; Viridiplantae; Streptophyta; Magnoliopsida; Myrtales; Myrtaceae. The transcript has 3 exons.
GCCAACCUGAAAUAUGUCAAGCAAUAAAACUGAAGGGGAACCUCUUCUCAUGCAUUGAUGAUGAUGCGCGCACUAAAGGAUUCUAAAACCACCAUUCCACACUACUGAACCUCCAUAUACAUUGAUGUUCAGAUGCAUAAUCUCUUCAAAUCUUCAAAAUGAAAAUAGCUAUCCCAUACAGAUGCGGCCAAAAAAAGAAGUCUAUACAAUGCUAAAUCCCCUUUCAUCUGCGGAGAUUUUCGGACUUCACUCCAAUAGUGCUUAUAAGAGGAUCUCUCUUCCUAUUCUUUUAAACUGGAAUUAUUGUAUCUCUGACAACUCAUCAAACUGCUAAAACUCACAUAUGAAAGAGAUAACCACUUGACUCGUGUACAGUCUCUGUGUUCUAUUCAAAAGAAAUAAAUUUCCACAACUACCUCAUAGUGCUCAUCUAUGUUACUGAUGCAAACAGAUAUGAGACUCGCAUGACAGGCCCAGCUGUCAUAAGAUCAGAUAUAUUUUGUUUUAGGUUAUAAAAGCAAACACCAAU